RNAcentral lists this long non-coding RNA (3553 nucleotides) under Triticum aestivum (bread wheat). RNAcentral's name for it is "long non-coding RNA (TAES_LNC002150)". Lineage: Eukaryota; Viridiplantae; Streptophyta; Magnoliopsida; Poales; Poaceae. The record is from RNAcentral.
AGUGAAGGGUGCAGCCUGGCAAGUCAUUAAUGGCUUUGCACGAUGCUUUGAUUAAUAUCGGGGAUUUUGAUCUCUAUUUGUAUGUUCUGCCAUACUUCCUCGAUGAUGGUGUUUUUGAUUAUUUACUUCUUUUCCUCACCUUGAUGAGCUAACCUUGAAUAUGCCAUUUGUGUUAUGCCCAAUGUGGAUUUUAAUCAGUGUAUCCUGGUCACAUGAUUCACCUUGUUACUUAAAUCAUAAGUUCUAGUGGAUUUUGCUGAUUUAGUUUGCUGCUAAACAAAUUUGUAAUGCUAUCAUUUUAAGAACCGAGUAGGUGUAAGUUGUGAUAAUCCUCUUAUACUGUUUUUCUUUUUCUUUUGCACAGCCUAAUUUAUGUUCUUCAUCCGAGUGGAUCCAACUUCGCUGACACACUCAUCGAUGCAUCCACAUUCUGCACGAAAAUCAUAGUUGUGAUCAGCCUUCUAUGUUUGUAUGACCUGGCUAUUGUUCAGUACUUAACCUUGCUGCAUACUUGUUUUCUUGCCGGUGACUGAUCUAAUUGCAAAUAUUGACACAUUGGUGAACUUAUGUGACGGUAUUUCAAUCAUAAUACAUUGCUGUUGGUGGUUGUACAUUCCAAGAUAUUCUAAUUGAUAUUACUGCUGUUGUUAUCCAUUAUUUCAUAGAAUUCACCAAGUGCAUAAAUAAACGGGUGCUCCUAAAAUGCAUUUAUUAGGUAGUAAUUAAGUUUGUAUACUUACUCUCUGUAGAUUAAAUGAUUAAUUUGGAGGGGUGGGUGGGCAUUAUAUGUGUGGCUGAUAUCAUUCCUAACUAAGAUCCAUAUGAUUCUUGACUGAUGUUUCUUUAUCUGCAAAGAUGAAACCGGUCCUUAGUUGAGACCUAGUACAAUUUUACGGGAAUAGUAUUUUCAGAUCUCAAAGAUUCUGAAAAUAUUUAUAUGUGUACAUAUAAUUAUGCACAUAGAUGUGGCUUUUCAUCAAUAUAUCUUCUCAUCCAUGGUGUAUACAAAAAGACAAUACAUUGGUAACAAAAUUCAAAAUAGUCAACUUUUGCUUUAUUUUAAACCACAUGCUUGUCUUUUUUGGCAUACAAAUCAACAAAUGAUUUAUUAAAAUUCUACAUGUAUGCAGGAAACGUCUAUGUGUGCUAUAGAUAUUUUUUUUGGAAGUUUUGAAACUUUUUAUCAUUUUCUAUUUUUGAAAACACCGGGCUUCAAGUGACCCAGGAGCUAACAUUGUCUCAUUCGUCUUUAAAAUUAGAAUUUGUGUUAGAUCCUUGGUUCUUCUCAAAAAGUUGUUCUGCAUGUAUUAAGAAGUCACGGUAUAAUACAAAAAUAAUCCUGAUGUUUAUACUGGUCAUUCAUUCUUACUGCAUGGAUUGUAUACGUUCCUAGAUGUUAUGAUCUGCACAAGAUGUUUUACCAACACCAACUAUUAUUCAUGUAGAAUCUGUCAAUUUGUUGCAGCUAAUGUGUAGAUUUCUGCUUUUCAUUCUAAUACCUGUCGAAAUUGUUAUUGUCUUUUCAUUUACCAUUUGGUGGCUGUAAUUAUGGCAAAUCAUCUAAAAUGCUGAUUUUUGGUGUUGCUCAUUCAACAGAUGGAGUGACCAAUCGUCUUAAAUCUUUGUCAAUCACUCUCGAGGUCGAUAGAUCAGAUAUGAUCUACAGUGCCAAGGAUAAGAUUCAAGACAAUGAGCAUAUCCCUUCAUGCCAGUAGGGAUACAUAUUUGGAUAUAGGAUGCUGGAGGGCUGCAGCACCGUGAAGGACAACAUUAUUCUGCAUCCUCCAAGGUAUGCAUAUUAAUGUUAGCGCCAAGACGCCAGGUGGCAAUAUUGUGACGCUAGGUUGAGAGCUCAGAUACUAUGAAAAAUGUGAAGAAGAUUUUCAAUGCAACAUGUCUUCAACAAGAUAUGCAACAAGUCGGCAUUCUGAAUAAGGGCUUGUUUGUUUGCUCGGGAUCCCUGCCCUUUCCCUGGGGUCAGAAGCCCGCGUAUGGAUUUAACCCUGGGAACCUACCGGUGUAUUUUGGACGCCAUCUCAGCAGGAGCAUGCCGCCCAAUCUAUGUGGCUUCUGCACCGUUUCCACCCUCCAUGGGGCUCCGCUGCCACCUUGCGAUGCCUCCGCUGCCCAUCUAGACUGCUAGGAUUUGAUCUCUGAUCCUUCUUUGCACAACUGAAUGUCCUUUGGCUCCUUCAACUAGCGCUUACUACUCUUUACUUCAGGAAUCAUUACUGUUCGUUUAUGGACAUUGGUUGUUAGCUUUUUGCACAAUUCAUUGAGAUUAUUAUGACCCAGGCAAUCUGAAUUUCUGAAAAGAAAAACCAUUGACGGCCAAAUUGCUUGCGGUUCUGGAUCCCUAGCUCACGAUUGACGACGGCGGCGAUUAGUCCUUUCUCCAGUUAACGUUGCAGCUGCCACGUGCAAGCUCUUUAUCCUGUGCCUAGAGGAAAUGGUGCCGCACCCUAUCCACCACUAUGAGGAUGGGGAGAGCGAAGGUGGGCAUGGCGCUUAACACUGACCAGAUGAGCACCCUAUGGCCGCCAAGGGAGAGUAGCCUUCCCUUCCAGCCCGUCAGUCCAGACUUUAUGCAAUCAAUAAAGAAUUGCAAGUGCACCAUUCGGAUACGCGAUAGCGUGAUCGGCGAACCUAGGUAGGUCAUGGGUAAUGUAGAUCGCCACCCCCAAACUCAGCAAGCACCUUGUCUAGGUUGAUAUCAUCACAGCGGAUGGGGGCCACCGUCGAUUUUUGUAGGUUGAUGUGCAGCCCUGUUGCCCGCCUGCCAGAAUGUAGGAUUGACAAUGGCAAACUGAUCUCGAAUCUCUUGGGAUUUGUGAAGAUAACGGCGUUGUUGGCAUAGAGGCUCACGCACAGCUUGACCGUCUUGUCCGUCAGCGAUGGCCAAGAUAAUCCCGUGUAACGGGUCGAUUGUGGGGAUAAAUAGGAAAAGGCGACACAGGUCGUCCUGUUGCAUUCCACACUUAUGGAACAUCUUCUUGGCUGCGAUCCCAUUGAGCAAGAACGUUGAGGAAGAGGUUGACAGGGGCAACUAACAUGAUUAAUAAGGAGGUACACCAUUCAAACGCACACAUGAUCAUGCCGGCGAGCACAACCAAUAACCCAAGGGAGUCGCUGUCGAUCACUGAACCACAAAAUCCUACAUAAUAUAACUACUCCUAACUCAAACCGGCUGAAGGCUGACCGCUGUUGAAACUAAUGGGGUGAGCUAACAUGAUUAACUACUUGGCCACCGGGCCCUCAUCUUCGACAGCCUCGAGGGGAUCAAGGACAAGGUAACCGCCUCUCGCACAGAUUCAUGGAUCUCGGCCGCCGGUGAUCGUGCGAUGUGUUUGCUUGCUCCCUGCUGUGUUUUGCGCGAUUUGACGGGUUCCUUCCCUGUUCGAUUUCUGGUCGCCUUUGGGCGCUGCUCUGUGCAGGUCUACCUCGAGGGGACUCACAUCGUCAUCCUUUGGUUCGAGAGGCGGUCAUCUACGACGUUCGCGCACGACCCAACCUCAUGGAGAGCACUUCCGGGGAAGAUGUCAUCUCCAUAUGG